UGCAUUCAUUCCUCCUCCCACGGCACCACCACCAUUAAUGGAGGUCCCACCGAGAUCCGAAGUCCCCGCGGCCUGAGCCCUCCAGCUAACGAGGACCCCAGACUUGAGGUACCACACACAACCUGUUUGGGGUUGGGUCAGGAGUCCGGUUAGCAAGGGCCAGGUAAGCGGCUCUCUCGGAGGUAGGACUCGCAUCUCUGGUUUGGGAAUAACUCGCUCUUUAAUUAAGGGACCCUUAGUCAAUUUGUCCAGUCAUUGGACAUGGGUAACAGCUUGUCUGUUGUCCCAAAAUUUGGUGGGGCGGUCUGUAGCCCAAAGAAAUACGGCCGAAAGUUACAUGGUUUCGAAGUAUGGACCUGAUGCAAGCAAGUACUUAGAGAAAUGGCAAGCAAUGACAAAGGCCAAUCCGAAGGUAAGCUGGCCAAGGUGGGGUUCACUUAAUGAGGAAAGGAUGUUGUUUCUGCAGUCUGUUUUAAGUGAAGCAGGUCGAGAAAUUGAAGGAGACGAAAGAGAAGUCUUCAACAAAUGGCUCGAGGAGUACACCCAGAGAAAACACAGGUCAGAACGAUCCGUAGAACAAGAGACGGGUAAGAACAAGAGAAAGGUAAGGGAGGAAGAGGAGAAUCAAGGUGAACAAGGCAGGGAAGCCACUAAAAAGCAAAUAGCUGAUUUACAGAAGGAGGUAGAAAGCCUUAAAGAACUCCUGAAAGGCUCUAGCAACCCAGCAACCUCUUUAGACAGCAUACCUGAGCCCCUAGAAUCACCUGAGGCACCCAUCCCUCAAUUCCCUUUUAAAAUUAAGGGAAGGGAAGGAACCAAAACAAUGCAGGUAUCUUUUACUCCUUGGACAAAAACAGAGCUCAGAGCCAUGGCCAAGGAAUUCCCAAAGGUUAGAGAAAACCCCAUAGAAUUUGCCAAGGAAUUUGAAUUAACUCUCUCUACAUACCAGCCUGGCCUAUCAGACCUUUACCAGCUAGCUCACAUACUAGUAGGUUCAGGAGAUGCUACUCACUGGUUUAAAACUGCUAGUUGGGAGAACCCUUUAGAAUAUAUUAAUCAGUUAAUGGCCAGAAAGGAAGGACCUGAAGUCCAUCUUCAGGAGGCAAAGAAGAUGGGAGAGGCUUUGUUAGAAGCAAUCCCCAAGGCCUUUCCAAAAUCUGUAAAUUGGGGAAAAAUCCAAACUUGCACUCAGAAAGAAGGAGAAUCUGUAUUUGAUUUUUAUAAUAGAUUUUUAGAUACCUUCAGGGCAAAUUCUGGACUUUCCCCAGAUAGCCCAG
RNAcentral lists this long non-coding RNA (1277 nucleotides) under Monodelphis domestica (gray short-tailed opossum). RNAcentral describes it as "lncRNA (ENSMODG00000047679.1)". The record is from RNAcentral. Lineage: Eukaryota; Metazoa; Chordata; Mammalia; Didelphimorphia; Didelphidae.